UUCAAAAUUCAGAAAAAAGUACACUUUGGAAAACUUUUAUCACUAACUAAUGAAUACAAGUAUUUCACACAUUGGUCUGCUCUCAGCUCUGAGUAAGGCACUAUUUUUGUAGAAAAUAUGAAUGAUUGAAAAGAACGCAGCAUUGGUUCCAUUCAAAAUUCAAAAGAUUUAGCGACAUGCUAAUGGGAAUGUUAUAUUGAAGUCAAUGCAACACAAUUUUUCAGUAGGAUAUGGACGGGGCACAUACACACACACACACAGAACACCGACUAAAUGUCAACAUUAAUACUAAGAGCUGGUUUAUUUGUGUUGAUCAACGGUACCUGAUCCUUAACGCUAGAGGCUUCGCGGCUAAGGAUUUGAGGAUAGCGAUUUGUUAAAAAUGUAUGAACUAAUAUAAUAACUAAUAACUAAUAUAAAUAUUGUCGCUAUUAUAAGGCACAUAAUUGUACUAAUACUCAAUAAAAUCAAGUUGCUGGCUUAACAAA
Molecule: long non-coding RNA, 488 nt
Organism: Scaptodrosophila lebanonensis
Lineage: Eukaryota; Metazoa; Arthropoda; Insecta; Diptera; Drosophilidae
Exons: 3
Source: RefSeq, a predicted model, not a curated record